UGGGGAAUUUUGGACAAUGGGCGAAAGCCUGAUCCAGCAAUGCCGCGUGUGUGAAGAAGGCCUUCGGGUUGUAAAGCACUUUUGUCCGGAAAGAAAUCCUUGGCUCUAAUACAGUCGGGGGAUGACGGUACCGGAAGAAUAAGCACCGGCUAACUACGUGCCAGCAGCCGCGGUAAUACGUAGGGUGCAAGCGUUAAUCGGAAUUACUGGGCGUAAAGCGUGCGCAGGCGGUUUGCUAAGACCGAUGUGAAAUCCCCGGGCUCAACCUGGGAACUGCAUUGGUGACUGGCAGGCUAGAGUAUGGCAGAGGGGGGUAGAAUUCCACGUGUGAGUAGUGAAAUGCGUAGAGAUGUGGAGGAAUACCGAUGGCGAAGGCAGCCCCCUGGGCCAAUACUGACGCUCAUGCACGAAAGCGUGGGGAGCAAACAGGAUUAGAUACCCUGGUAGUCCACGCCCUAAACGAUGUCAACUAGUUGUUGGGGAUUCAUUUCCUUAGUAACGUAGCUAACGCGUGAAGUUGACCGCCUGGGGGAGUACGGUCGCAAGAUUAAAACUC
This 556-nucleotide ribosomal RNA is filed under the name uncultured bacterium. Its description in RNAcentral is "partial 16S ribosomal RNA". It matches the Rfam family "Bacterial small subunit ribosomal RNA", at positions 355 to 902 of the family's 1533-position model. The record is from RNAcentral.